AGCCAAAGCCAUCGUGCUUUGUAGUUGAUGGCCAUGGGCAACCAAAGUCAUCAUGCUUUGCUGCUGAUGGCCAUGGGCAGCCAAAGCCAAUGCAGAUCAUUGCUGAUGGCCAUGGGCAACCAAAGCCAUCAUGCUUUGUUGCUGAUGCCCAUGGUCAACCAAAGUCAUUAUGAUUUGUUGCUGAUGGCCAUGGUCAACCAAAGCCAAUGCACAUCAUUGCUGAUGGCCAUAGGCAAUCAAAUCCAUUAUGCUUUGUGUCUGAUGGCCAUGGGCAACCAAAGUCAUUAUGAUUUGUUGCUGAUGGCCAUGGUCAAUCAAAGCCAAUGCACAUCAUUGCUGAUGGCCAUGGGCAACCAAACCCAUUGUGCUUUGUGUCUGAUGGCCAUGGGCAACCAAAGCCAAUGGGCAUCAUUGCUGAUGGCCAUGGGCAACCAAACCCGUUGUGCUUUGUGGUUGAUGGCCAUGGGCAACCAAAGUCAUUAUGAUUUGUUGCUGAUGGCCAUGGUCAACCAAAGUCAUCGUGCUUUGUGUCUGAUGGCCAUGGGCAGCCAAAGCCAUCAUGCUUUGUAGUUGAUGGCCAUGGGCAACCAAAGCCAAUGCACAUCAUUGCUGAUGACCAUGGGCACCAAACCCGUUGUGCUUUGUGUCUGAUGGCCACGGGCAGCCAAAGCCCCCGUGCUUUGUUACCAGCGGCCCCCAGCUCGGUCAGCAGCGCCGUGCGGCCCGGUUUUCUUCCUCCAGCACACGUGCAUCCCCCAUUGCUGGCCUGCAUGCAGACAUGUGCGUGUAUCCCCACACGCGCGCGGCCCCCCGGGCACGUGCACACUCACCAGGACUCUGCAUGUGCAUCCACACGCCUGCACCUCGCACACGCGUGCGCGGAGCCGCGGGCCUCGUCCCACCUCCGCCCUCGAUCCCACCCGGACGAACUCACCUGUGGGUUUUUUUUUUGGUUUGUUUUGUUUCGUUCCGUUUUUAAUUUUACAGGGUCAGUUUGACUUCACCCUUAAUUUUGUAUGGAUUUUCGGAGGAGAUUUCUCCUUCUCCAGAGUCAUGGAGGUGUGGCCAUUCGCCUCCCGCCCUUGACGUUGUGAUACACAUCCCCCACAGAGAUCUAUGUUUCUUAUAUUAUAUUAUUAUUAUUAUUAUUAUGUAAUAAAUUUAUAAGAAAGCUUCA
Tympanuchus pallidicinctus (lesser prairie-chicken) is the source of this 1177-nucleotide long non-coding RNA. RefSeq lists it as uncharacterized. The transcript has 2 exons. The record is from RefSeq and is a predicted model, not a curated record. Lineage: Eukaryota; Metazoa; Chordata; Aves; Galliformes; Phasianidae.